GUCCCGGCCCUAAACGGUGCGCAUUUGCUGUGAGCGGAAUCGACCCCGCUCGUGGCGGAGCUAACGCGUUAAAUGCGCCGCCUGGGGAGUACGGCCGCAAGGUUAAAACUCAAAGAAAUUGACGGGGGCCUGCACAAGCGGUGGAGUAUGUGGCUUAAUUCGAUGCAACGCGAAGAACCUUACCUGGCCUUGACAUGCAGAUAGUAGAAGCCUGAAAGGGUGACGAUUCCGCAAGGAAAGUUUGCACAGGUGCUGCAUGGCUGUCGU
This 267-nucleotide ribosomal RNA is filed under the name uncultured bacterium. Its description in RNAcentral is "partial 16S ribosomal RNA". It matches the Rfam family "Bacterial small subunit ribosomal RNA", at positions 793 to 1055 of the family's 1533-position model. The record is from RNAcentral.